This 514-nucleotide ribosomal RNA is filed under the name uncultured bacterium. RNAcentral describes it as "partial 16S ribosomal RNA". It matches the Rfam family "Bacterial small subunit ribosomal RNA", at positions 28 to 523 of the family's 1533-position model. The record is from RNAcentral.
GAUGAACGCUGGCGGCGUGCCUAAUACAUGCAAGUCGAGCGAACAGAUGAGAAGCUUGCUUCUCUGAUGUUAGCGGCGGACGGGUGAGUAACACGUGGGUAACCUACCUAUAAGACUGGGAUAACUCCGGGAAACCGGGGCUAAUACCGGAUAAUAUUUUGAACCGCAUGGUUCAAUAGUGAAAGACGGUUUCGUCUGUCACUUAUAGAUGGACCCGCGCCGUAUUAGCUAGGUGGUAAGGUAACGGCUUACCAAGGCGACGAUACGUAGCCGGCCUGAGAGGGUGAUCGGCCACACUGGAACUGAGACACGGGCCAGACGCCUAAGGGAGGGAGCAGUAGGGGAUCUUCCGCAAUGGGCGAAAGCCUUAAGGAGCAACGCCGGGUGAGUGAUGAAGGUCUUCGGAUCGUAAAAAUCUGUUGUUAGGGAAGAACAAAUUUGUUAGUAACUGAACAAGUCUUGACGGUACCUAACCAGAAAGCCACGGCUAACUACGUGCCAGCAGCCGCGGUAA